ACUGCUCAGUAACACGUGGACAACCCGCCCUUAGGACGGGGAUAAACCCGGGAAACUGGGUAUAAUACCCGAUAGGUCUCGAUUGCUGGAAUGCAUCGAGAUUUAAAGCUCCGGCGCCUAAGGAUGGGUCUGCGGCCUAUCAGGUAGUAGUGGGUGUAGCGUACCUACUAGCCUACGACGGGUACGGGUUGUGAGAGCAAGAGCCCGGAGAUGGAUUCUGAGACACGAAUCCAGGCCCUACGGGGUGCAGCAGGCGCGAAAACUUUACAAUGCUGGCAACAGCGAUAAGGGAACCUCGAGUGCCAGGUUACAAAUCUGGCUGUCGAGAUGCCUAAAAAGCAUUUCAUAGCAAGGGCCGGGCAAGACCGGUGCCAGCCGCCGCGGUAACACCGGCGGCUCGAGUGGUAACCGUUAUUAUUGGGUCUAAAGGGUCUGUAGCCGGCCGGAUAAGUCUCUUGAGAAAUCUGGCAGCUUAACUGUCAGGCUUUCAGGAGAUACUGUCUGGCUCGAGGCCGGGAGAGGUGAGAGGUACUUCAGGGGUAGGGGUGAAAUCUUGUAAUCCUUGAAGGACCACCAGUGGCGAAGGCGUCUCACCAGAACGGACCUGACGGCAAGGGACGAAAGCUAGGGGCACGAACCGGAUUAGAUACCCGGGUAGUCCUAGCCGUAAACGAUACUCGCUAGGUGUCGGCCACGGUGCGACCGUUGUCGGUGCCGUAGGGAAGCCGUGAAGCGAGCCACCUGGGAAGUACGGCCGCAAGGCUGAAACUUAAAGGAAUUGGCGGGGGAGCACCACAACGGGUGGAGCUUGCGGUUUAAUUGGAUUCAACGCCGGAAAUCUUACCGGGACCGACAGCAAUAUGAAGGCCAGGCUGAAGACUUUGCCGGAUUAGCUGAGAGGUGGUGCAUGGCCGUCGUCAGUUCGUACUGUGAAGCAUCCUGUUAAGUCAGGCAACGAGCGAGACCCCUACC
RNAcentral lists this ribosomal RNA (972 nucleotides) under uncultured archaeon. RNAcentral's name for it is "bacterial SSU rRNA". It matches the Rfam family "Archaeal small subunit ribosomal RNA", at positions 85 to 1058 of the family's 1478-position model. The record is from RNAcentral.